AGGUCAUAUCGCGUUGAAACGACUGCACCCGUGCGAUCACAGAAGUUAAGCAACAUCGAGUCUGGUCAGUACCUACAUAAGUGACUGCUUGGAAACAUUAGGUGCUGUAUG
Molecule: non-coding RNA, 111 nt
Organism: Acanthosepion pharaonis
Lineage: Eukaryota; Metazoa; Mollusca; Cephalopoda; Sepiida; Sepiidae
Source: the annotation of a GenBank genome assembly